UUAAAACAUCAGUUGCCGUACGAUCACCGAAGUUAAGCGACGUCGAACCUGGUCAGUACCUAAAUGGGUAACCGCUUGGGAAUACCGGGUGCUGUAAG
Molecule: non-coding RNA, 98 nt
Organism: Acanthosepion pharaonis
Lineage: Eukaryota; Metazoa; Mollusca; Cephalopoda; Sepiida; Sepiidae
Source: the annotation of a GenBank genome assembly